RNAcentral lists this ribosomal RNA (1447 nucleotides) under Lactiplantibacillus plantarum. RNAcentral's name for it is "bacterial SSU rRNA". It matches the Rfam family "Bacterial small subunit ribosomal RNA". The record is from RNAcentral. Lineage: Bacteria; Bacillati; Bacillota; Bacilli; Lactobacillales; Lactobacillaceae.
CUAUACAUGCAAGUCGAACGAACUCUGGUAUUGAUUGGUGCUUGCAUCAUGAUUUACAUUUGAGUGAGUGGCGAACUGGUGAGUAACACGUGGGAAACCUGCCCAGAAGCGGGGGAUAACACCUGGAAACAGAUGCUAAUACCGCAUAACAACUUGGACCGCAUGGUCCGAGNUUGAAAGAUGGCUUCGGCUAUCACUUUUGGAUGGUCCCGCGGCGUAUUAGCUAGAUGGUGGGGUAACGGCUCACCAUGGCAAUGAUACGUAGCCGACCUGAGAGGGUAAUCGGCCACAUUGGGACUGAGACACGGCCCAAACUCCUACGGGAGGCAGCAGUAGGGAAUCUUCCACAAUGGACGAAAGUCUGAUGGAGCAACGCCGCGUGAGUGAAGAAGGGUUUCGGCUCGUAAAACUCUGUUGUUAAAGAAGAACAUAUCUGAGAGUAACUGUUCAGGUAUUGACGGUAUUUAACCAGAAAGCCACGGCUAACUACGUGCCAGCAGCCGCGGUAAUACGUAGGUGGCAAGCGUUGUCCGGAUUUAUUGGGCGUAAAGCGAGCGCAGGCGGUUUUUUAAGUCUGAUGUGAAAGCCUUCGGCUCAACCGAAGAAGUGCAUCGGAAACUGGGAAACUUGAGUGCAGAAGAGGACAGUGGAACUCCAUGUGUAGCGGUGAAAUGCGUAGAUAUAUGGAAGAACACCAGUGGCGAAGGCGGCUGUCUGGUCUGUAACUGACGCUGAGGCUCGAAAGUAUGGGUAGCAAACAGGAUUAGAUACCCUGGUAGUCCAUACCGUAAACGAUGAAUGCUAAGUGUUGGAGGGUUUCCGCCCUUCAGUGCUGCAGCUAACGCAUUAAGCAUUCCGCCUGGGGAGUACGGCCGCAAGGCUGAAACUCAAAGGAAUUGACGGGGGCCCGCACAAGCGGUGGAGCAUGUGGUUUAAUUCGAAGCUACGCGAAGAACCUUACCAGGUCUUGACAUACUAUGCAAAUCUAAGAGAUUAGACGUUCCCUUCGGGGACAUGGAUACAGGUGGUGCAUGGUUGUCGUCAGCUCGUGUCGUGAGAUGUUGGGUUAAGUCCCGCAACGAGCGCAACCCUUAUUAUCAGUUGCCAGCAUUAAGUUGGGCACUCUGGUGAGACUGCCGGUGACAAACCGGAGGAAGGUGGGGAUGACGUCAAAUCAUCAUGCCCCUUAUGACCUGGGCUACACACGUGCUACAAUGGAUGGUACAACGAGUUGCGAACUCGCGAGAGUAAGCUAAUCUCUUAAAGCCAUUCUCAGUUCGGAUUGUAGGCUGCAACUCGCCUACAUGAAGUCGGAAUCGCUAGUAAUCGCGGAUCAGCAUGCCGCGGUGAAUACGUUCCCGGGCCUUGUACACACCGCCCGUCACACCAUGAGAGUUUGUAACACCCAAAGUCGGUGGGGUAACCUUUUAGGAACCAGCCGCCUAAG